GUGCAGCAGUCGCGAAACCUCCGCAAUACACGAAAGUGUGACGGGGCCAUCCCGAGUGCCGUCCGCUGAGGACGGCUUUCCCCAGUGUACAUAGCUGGGGAAUAAGGAGAGGGCAAGCCUGGUGUCAGCCGCCGCGGUAAUACCAGCUCUCCGAGUGGUGGGGACGCUUAUUGGGCCUAAAGCAUCCGUAGCCGGCUAGGCAAGUCCUCCGUUAAAUCCAACGAUUCAAUCGUUGGGCUGCGGGGGAUACUGUCCAGCUUGGGGGCGGGAGAGGCCGACGGUAUUCCCGGGGUAGGGGUGAAAUCCUAUAAUCCCGGGAGGACCACCAGUGGCGAAGGCUGUCGGCUAGAACGCGCCCGACGGUGAGGGAUGAAAGCUGGGGGAGCGAACCGGAUUAGAC
This 400-nucleotide ribosomal RNA is filed under the name uncultured microorganism. RNAcentral's name for it is "bacterial SSU rRNA". It matches the Rfam family "Archaeal small subunit ribosomal RNA", at positions 330 to 734 of the family's 1478-position model. The record is from RNAcentral.